AACGAACGCUGGCGGCAUGCCUAACACAUGCAAGUCGAACGAGAUCUUCGGGUCUAGUGGCGCACGGGUGCGUAACGCGUGGGAAUCUGCCCUUUGGUUCGGAAUAACAGUUGGAAACGACUGCUAAUACCGGAUGAUGACGAAAGUCCAAAGAUUUAUCGCCAGAGGAUGAGCCCGCGAAGGAUUAGCUAGUUGGUGUGGUAAAGGCGCACCAAGGCGACGAUCCUUAGCUGGUCUGAGAGGAUGAUCAGCCACACUGGGACUGAGACACGGCCCAGACGCCUACGGGAGGCAGUAGUGGGGAAUAUUGGACAAUGGGCGAAAGCCUGAUCCAGCAAUGCCGCGUGAGUGAUGAAGGCCUUAGGGUUGUAAAGCUCUUUUACCCGGGAUGAUAAUGACAGUACCGGGAGAAUAAGCUCCGGCUAACUCCGUGCCAGCCGCCGCAGUAA
This 449-nucleotide ribosomal RNA is filed under the name uncultured bacterium. RNAcentral describes it as "partial 16S ribosomal RNA". It matches the Rfam family "Bacterial small subunit ribosomal RNA", at positions 29 to 523 of the family's 1533-position model. The record is from RNAcentral.